AUCCCUUGGACUCAGCAAGAUGGAUUGUGCCAUUGCCUAGUUGACUGAAUGAAGUGAAAGUGUAAGGACAAACUGAAUGGACUGAAGACAGAACGAAAAAUGAGCAAUCUUGUAUAAAGAUAUAGAAAAAGUUGAAUAAUCUUACUUAAAGGAUAAGAAAAAUAGUCAGAUGAGGAAGAGUCCAGAGGAUCUGUCUGCACCCUGGAAACAGAAUGGUUUGGACUAAGGUCUGGAGCUUACUGCCGUGUCUUGUGGAAAUCUGUUUCAAGAGGCCAAUGGGUCUGUGGCUGGAGGCUGAAGGACCCAUGUCAGAAGCAGAAAAGUCUGUUCUAGAAGCCAGAAGAUGAUGCCCAAGCACUCUGACCUAAGAUCAAAUCUCAACUUGCACUUGAACUUAUUCGUCUUCUCUAAAACUACAGGCCUCCAGCCUAAGAGCAAUGUAUGCAACAGUGUUAUCGUAUUUAAAACCUCUCACUCUUACUUGAUUUCUGGCAACUCUGAUAUACCAUGCACCCCAGCAUAUUGAAUCACCCCGAAAGCAGUGUGAAUCACUGGAGGGCUCUGGGUAGCACACUAACUGCUUUGGUUGAGAGAAAUGAUCAGAGAUAUUUAAGCAAUGAACAGAAAGGUUACUGGCAGACUGACAGGAACAAAGAUAAAAGGUUGGAGAAAAGAGGAUUGAUGAAAUUAAGAGAAUGCACUGAAUUUGGGAAGAGCGGGAGAAAAGAAAAGAAUAGGAAGAAGAGAGAAAUACAUAUUUUCCCCAACUAUUGUUUUCAGGUGCUUUUCAGUGACUGCAAAGCCGAAAUUUUC
Fukomys damarensis (Damara mole-rat) is the source of this 813-nucleotide long non-coding RNA. RefSeq lists it as uncharacterized. The transcript has 3 exons. Lineage: Eukaryota; Metazoa; Chordata; Mammalia; Rodentia; Bathyergidae. The record is from RefSeq and is a predicted model, not a curated record.